Molecule: long non-coding RNA, 521 nt
Organism: Hemicordylus capensis (graceful crag lizard)
Lineage: Eukaryota; Metazoa; Chordata; Lepidosauria; Squamata; Cordylidae
Exons: 2
Source: RefSeq, a predicted model, not a curated record
ACCAGACAAUGCAGCUCUCUCCAGGAAGCAGAACCUUAAAACCUGGGAACAUGCCACACAGCGGCAGGUUUUGAGCACAUAAGAUUGCAAGUGACUGUGCUGUGGACCUCUUCGGAGCAGGGACCUGCCCUCUCAUCUGUUGCAACGCACCAUGCCAUGGAUGGAUCGAUAGAAUAAUAACACUCCGUACAAUACCUACGCCUGUUUCCCUGAUCCUCCCUUUCAUCCUCAGUGGCUAACUCUGACUGACCCCCAAGAACAACUCAUCAGAGUCCCCUGCUUUGUUUAGCUGUUGGCAGUAAACCAGCUAUCAACUUCCAUUGCCAUGGCAACUAGUGCUUUGUCAUCUUUUCCUCAAAGCUUCCUAAUUAGACAUCCUGCAAUUUGCAAUUUUCCCCCUAUAAAAUAUGAGGGUUGAAAAAAUGAAGAACAACAUUUCUUAAGAGCGCUAGUGAAUCAGCAGUCUUUAAAUAUCAUUGCUUUCCCAAAUAAGAAUGUAUAUAAGAACUACAAAACAAAAA